AGGGGGUACCGGUACAGAGUCAAUGUGGAGGCUAUAUACAGGGGGUACCGGUACAGAGUCAAUGUGGAGGCUAUAUACAGGGGGUACCGGUACAGAGUCAAUGUGGAGGCUAUAUACAGGGGUACCAGUACAGAGUCAAUGUGGAGGCUAUAUACAGGGUGUUACGGUACAGAGUCAAUGUGGAGGCUAUAUACAGGGGUACCGGUACAGAGUCUAUGUGGAGGCUAUAUACAGGGUGUUACGGUACAGAGUCAAUGUGGAGGCUAUAUACAGGGGUACCGGUACAGAGUCUAUGUGGAGGCUAUAUACAGGGUGUUACGGUACAGAGUCAAUGUGGAGGCUAUAUACAGGGGGUACCGGUACAGAGUCAAUGUGGAGGCUAUAUACAGGGUGUUACGGUACAGAGUCAAUGUGGAGACUAUAUACAGGGUGUUACGGUACAGAGUCAAUGUGGAGGCUAUAUACAGGGGGUACUGGUACAGAGUCAAUGUGGAGGCUAUAUACAGGGUAUUAUGGUACAGAGUCAAUGUGGAGGCUAUAUACAGGGGGUACUGGUACAGAGUCAAUGUGGAGGCUAUAUACAGGGUAUUACGGUACAGAGUCAAUGUGGAGGCUAUAUACAGGGUAUUACGGUACAGAGUCAA
Oncorhynchus tshawytscha (Chinook salmon) is the source of this 644-nucleotide long non-coding RNA. The record is from Ensembl. NCBI's taxonomy places the organism in Eukaryota, Metazoa, Chordata, Actinopteri, Salmoniformes, Salmonidae.